GUACCCAUAGCUCAAUUGGAUAGAGUACUUGGCUACGAACCAAGCGGUUGGGGGUUCGACUCCCUCUGGGUAUA
This 74-nucleotide transfer RNA is filed under the name Candidatus Cloacimonadota bacterium. RNAcentral's name for it is "Candidatus Cloacimonetes bacterium tRNA-Arg". It matches the Rfam family "tRNA". Rfam says of the family: Transfer RNA (tRNA) molecules are approximately 80 nucleotides in length. Their secondary structure includes four short double-helical elements and three loops (D, anti-codon, and T loops). Lineage: Bacteria; Pseudomonadati; Candidatus Cloacimonadota. The record is from RNAcentral. RNAcentral also lists the same sequence under 1 other name.